This is a long non-coding RNA of Clupea harengus (Atlantic herring), 277 nucleotides long. RefSeq lists it as uncharacterized. The transcript has 6 exons. The record is from RefSeq and is a predicted model, not a curated record. Lineage: Eukaryota; Metazoa; Chordata; Actinopteri; Clupeiformes; Clupeidae.
UGCAGCCGGGACAUCAGGGAGAGAUGGAAUAAAGGGGAUCCGGGGUACAACUGGUCCACUUGGACCACCAGGACCAAAAGGAGAUCAGGGUAAUAUUGGACCUCCCGGACCAAGGGGUACACCAGGGAUGCCUGGACUUCCUGGUUUGUUUGGACUAAAGGGGCCCAAGGGCUUUGAUGGUCCUUCAGGACAUCCUGGACAGAGGGGCCUUCCAGGACCACCUGGGCCACCAGGCCCUCCUGGCCCACCCUUAAACUACACACUAGCCCAGAUCAAG